Pomacea canaliculata is the source of this 2398-nucleotide long non-coding RNA. RefSeq lists it as uncharacterized. Lineage: Eukaryota; Metazoa; Mollusca; Gastropoda; Architaenioglossa; Ampullariidae. The transcript has 2 exons. The record is from RefSeq and is a predicted model, not a curated record.
AUGGGCUGGGUGUCGUGGGCGCUGACGAUUGGUCACAGCCCCUGGGCGACAGGAAGUGACCCCCAGAGAGCAGCGUCCCUCGAGGCAGUUCUGACCUGGGCUCGGAGGAGAGUAGAGCGUUUGUGUCAGAAAGGACGGCGGGAGGCCGGGCCAAUGUGGGCAGUGUAGGCUGCGCCGUUUUACCCAAACCGAGCUUCGGAUGGAAGGUGUCGGAUUCCACGGGAGAGUUUCUGCCAUUCCGGUUGUGGAGGGCAGCUGACCGUCGGGGCAUUAGCACAAGCCGUUUUGGGCUUGCGUUUGUUUACUUCUACAUGUAUUACGUCUUCUCCGUUUUCCACGUAUGCUACAUGUUCAACAUAAUUGUGAUCUCGCUGGACGUUUUGUGAUCAUCAUCUGUGUCAUCGUCCGCUUUUGUGGGACUGUCCGCUAUUGUGUCGACCCUGCGCCUUCAUCACCUCGUCAGCGCGUGAGCGCGACCCUGCUGUGCCUGUGUGCGGCCCAGCCAUCGGGAGGGAGCGCCUAGGGUGGAGGUCGACAAGCGGAGUCUCCGUGACCAAGGUCUACCGGGACGAGAGCCGUGGGGUCAGCCGGACAGCUGGUCCAGAGGAAGAGGGGGGUGGUUCCCGCUGGUUCUACGAACACUGAGCGGACACUUGCCUGCGCUGUGCCGCAGUGAUCUUUGUAUGUUCUCUGCUGUGUGUGUGUGUAUUUUAAUUGUAACUUCUUUGCGGGGAGGCAGUCCCCUGUUGUUUUUUUUCAUAUUUAUUUGGCGAGUACUCGUGGGGGUAUUUUUUUUUUUUUUUGAUCCGUUUUUCUGUGGGUGUGUGUGGGUGUAUGUGUAUGCGUGUUUAUACUUGUCAUUAAACUGCGUGUUUGUAUCGUUGUUCCCGUCUUUGUCGUGGUUUGUGCCGUGCACGGGUUUCGAGAGGUAAGUCGUAGACUGCCUCCGGCCGAGUGUCUGUGCGUGUCUGGCCGGCUGUGUGAGCGGCUGUGCGCGUGCUUCUGGCGAGGCUGUGGGUGGAACGCGACAAAUACCAUCAGGUUUAUUAUCAUCAGACAGUUCAAGUCCCUCAUAAUUUUAAUCCUGCUGUAUGGACAUGGGGUGUGGACUCUGUUUGCUGAUACAGGCAUUUGAGACCAAAUGCCUGAGUAGGUGCCUGCAAAUUUGCUGCAUGGAAAACAAAAGCUAGGACUUGUGUGAAACACAGUUGCCACCCUAGUGGACCACCAUGAACCCCCUUCUCAACAGUUAAGCAGUGCAAAAUGGUUCAGCCACAAGAACAGUCAUGACCUGAUGUCUAAGAAUGUCACUUGUUUGGGAUUAAUGAAUGCACAUCAGAUUCUAAAUAUUACAACCAAAAUUACAUUUGCUGCAACACGGCCCAUUUUGAAUAAUAGCAUUUUAUGUGCAUUCACAUAAAGCUUAAAACUUAUGGGAGUAAUUGAAAACUACUGUAUGCUGAUUUCUGGCCACAUAUUGUGGCCAAAUAGUUAAAUGUUUUGUACCCAGCAAGAUAAACAUAUUCACCUGCUGACUCUUUCAUACAUAAAUAAGAAUCAUCACAAGAGUUGUAUACUUUAAUUACAAAUAGUGAAAUACACUUAGAAGCUAAAGAAAAUUUCAAACUAUUUGUUCUUUACUGUGGACACAAACUUUUAAAUUAGAAAAACUAAAAAUGAUUUAGCAGAAGCUCAGACCUGCCCACUAAUAAAAAAUGUGAACACUUAAAAUUAACUCUGAAGUUAAAUUUCUAAAUGAAGUCAAAUGCAUCUAGAAAUAGGAAUAAUUUAUAUUGUUCAUACAUGUGCUUUCGUUGUUCAAAAGGAGUUCAAAUGAAAAUCUUUAUAAAAAGCUUUCUAAGUAUGUUUCAUAGAACUUUAAAGAACAAACAAAUGUAUAAAAUUAACAAAACUAAACGUAGGUCUAGAACAAAAAUUCACUAGACUACAAGGGAAAAAAAAGACCAGUAAUAAUCGGGUCCCUGCAGCAAGUUUCAAAUGCUAACUGGUUUUUUAAGCAAAACUCACAUGCGAGAAUGUAUUCUCAACAACAUUAAGUUCAUUAAUAAUAUACAAUAACAUCUCACAAAACACAUCAACACCACGUAUGCCGAGAUGAUCGAAGUUUAAAAUGUUUAUGAGGCCCAGGGUUCAAAAUGUGGUUGGGAAAACCCUGCAUCACUGUUCACCCUAGCGCAAUGUCAAAACAUGUGCAUCACACAUUGAAUUUUUGUGUUUCAUAGACUUGUAAAAAAAAAAAGAAAAUGACAAAAAGCAAGAGCUUUUUUUUUUUUUUUGCUCACAACCAUAUAUCUGCUGCACAGAAAAAAAUGUUCUCUAAACAAAUAUGCACAGCUUUUAACAAUGGGACUCUCCUCCAGAAAUAUUAACAAAAAAA